UGGCUGGAGAGGUUUGUAGUUGUAGAAGAGCUUUAUGACACGUCAUGUGUGGCUGGGACACCCAGGGAAGGGCUCGUUUGUGGCAGCUCCGUAAAGCCAAUGACUCAGCAGAUGGCAGGAGAGGAAAAGGGUCAUCCAGUGGCCAAACCAUGAAGGCCGGGAUUCUUGCAUUCGAGACCGUGAUGAAUUGAGCAUAGUAGUUUCAUCCCACGGCUAAUCAGCAAAACCCCCUCCUUGCUUGGGCACUUGGGGUGUGGAUUCUAAAGCAGAGUCUUCCAAAACUGGGACAAGCUGCCUGAAGCCAGUCCUGGCCUCAUCAACAGCGAUGAUGGCAGAAGCUCUUCCAAGCGGCAAGGCAUUUCCGGAGAGAGAUCCUCCAGUGUUCAGAACAGCUGCAGCGCCCCGAGGGCAGUCCGAUUCAGCGCCAAAAGUCUUGGUGGACAGCUCCCCACGCAAGGCCACCAGGCACAAAGCAAAAGCCCGUAAGCUGCCAAGCGAGUGAUGUAGUCUUCAGACGAAACCCGAGAUGAGCCCCCAAAUGAUACAGUCGAGGGGUCUUGAUCUGUUUGUUUCCUCUGUUGUUGAAGAAUUAAAAGGCGGGGAAACCUGGAGCUCGCCAGGCAGCAGCAGAGAAAUCUCAAGUGCCGCAGACAGAACCAGCGGUUGAAGGAAGGUGUUUAUCGGGGAAGCACACAAGCAGCAGACACACAGAGAAAAAGACCCUCUGUGAAGCAGAGCGGGGGAAUCGAGAGCCAAACAUCCGGCCUCUUCUGGAGGCUGGGGGUUUAAAGUCUCAAAAGAGUCUUCCUCCCCUAAGUUAGGGUUGGUCAGUCUGAAGAAAGCUAGGAUGACUGAUUGGUCCAGAACUGUUGUACAGCAUGUCCGGAGCAGGGUCUGAACUUGUCGCACCAGUCCGUCUGCAGGGCGCCCACUGCUAGGAGAGGAAAGCCAAGAAGGCCUUUGUUCUAAGUUGCCAAGCUUUUACCACAAUUCUGGAGAGUGAGGAAGAAGGCGGCCAUCUUAGAAAUUCACCACCUUUAUUAGCCAUGACCCCUCUCCGAGUAGGUCUUACCUACCAGGGAGUCUGUCCAAAUCUUCCUCUCUCACCAUGGCCUAAUGACUAGCUCCUAACUGCUUGAUUUAUUUAAAGAAGUAACAGCAAUGAAACAAACCACCCAA
This is a long non-coding RNA of Peromyscus eremicus (cactus mouse), 1179 nucleotides long. RefSeq lists it as uncharacterized. Lineage: Eukaryota; Metazoa; Chordata; Mammalia; Rodentia; Cricetidae. The record is from RefSeq and is a predicted model, not a curated record. The transcript is spliced from 3 exons.